This 497-nucleotide ribosomal RNA is filed under the name uncultured bacterium. RNAcentral's name for it is "partial 16S ribosomal RNA". It matches the Rfam family "Bacterial small subunit ribosomal RNA", at positions 28 to 507 of the family's 1533-position model. The record is from RNAcentral.
GAUGAACGCUGGCGGCGUGCCUAAUACAUGCAAGUCGAGCGAACGGACGAGAAGCUUGCUUCUCUGAUGUUAGCGGCGGACGGGUGAGUAACACGUGGAUAACCUACCUAUAAGACUGGGAUAACUUCGGGAAACCGGAGCUAAUACCGGAUGAUAUUUUGAACCGCAUGGUUCAAAAGUGAAAGACGGUCUUGCUGUCACUUAUAGAUGGAUCCGGGCUGCAUUAGCUAGUUGGUAAGGUAACGGCUUACCAAGGCAACGAUGCAUAGCCGACCUGGGAGGGGGAACGGGCAAACUGGAAAAUAGACAACGUACCAAACGCCACAGGGAGGAGCAAGAAGGAAUGCUUCGGGAAUGGACGAAGGCUUACCGGAGAACCGCGGCUGGGUGGAGGAAGUUCUACGAACGGAAAAAUCUGUUUGUAGGGGAGAACAUUAGUGGAAGUGACCUUGGAAAGUUUGACGGUAACUAAUCAGAAAGCCACGGCUAACUACGUG